This 1371-nucleotide ribosomal RNA is filed under the name Triticum aestivum (bread wheat). RNAcentral's name for it is "partial small subunit ribosomal RNA". The record is from RNAcentral. Lineage: Eukaryota; Viridiplantae; Streptophyta; Magnoliopsida; Poales; Poaceae.
AUGGAAUCAGUAGAGAGAGCAUUUGGAUGCCCGAGAGGCGCCUUCCCAUGCAAAUACCUUGGUCUGCCGCUCACCCUGAGAAAACAGUCACAUCUACAGUUAUCAGGCCUUGUGGACCAACUAGCAACGGCAUUGCCAAAAUGGAAAGCAGCAAGGAUGCCAAAGAGUGGAAGAAUGCUUCUUAUUCAAUCUGUACUCUGUGCAAUUCCGCUGCACGCGAUGAUGGCGCUCGACCUCCCACAGAAGACAAUUUCAGCAAUGAACAGAAUAUGCCGCAGCUUCUUAUGGUGCGCUGAGUCAAGCUCGUCUGGCGGAAACUGCACAGUCGCUUGGGAGGCUGUGUGUGCCCCCAAAUGGGCGGGUGGAUUAGGCAUACCCAACCUAGGAUGGAUGAACAAAGCUGUGCAGGCCAGGUGGCCUUGGUUACAGAGAUCAGACACAUCGCGACCAUGGGCAGAAUUUGACAUCACAGUACCAAAAGCUUCAAGACAACUCUUCAACGCGGCUGCUCGCUGGGUUCUCGGCGACGGAAAUACAAUAUUCUUUUGGGAAGAUAGAUGGCUCGAAGGACACCGGAUCGUGGAGAUGGCCCCCUUGACCUAUGGCCGAGUCAGGAAGAAAACGAGGAACUCAUGCACCAUAGCCCAGGCCCUACGGAAUGACGGUUGGGUCGCCCAAGUAAGCCCGGAGGUAUCAACUGACUCGCUAAGGGAAUAUCUACAGCUAUGGAACAUGAUCCAAGAACUUCAACUUGACCCAACGCAACAUGAUACCAUCACUUGGUCAUGGGAAGCAAGCGGAUGCUAUUCAGCAAGGACUGCCUAUGCAGCCAAAUUCUGGGGCAGGCAAGUCGUCCCCACGGCCGAAUUCACUUGGAAAUCUAGAGCACCGGCGCCCUGCCGCUUCUUCACAUGGCUGGCAAUCCAGGAUAGGUGCUGGACGUCUGAUCGGCUGGCAAGACGAGGGCUCGAUCAUCAGGAUUGCUGCCCAAUGUGCAGCCAAGAAGAGGAGAGCAUAAACCACAUUUUGCUCCAGUGUGUCGUCGCGCGGGAAGUGUGGACCGCGAUCUGUCAUCCCCUACGCAGACCGGAAUGGAUACCUACUGUGAAUGAAAGCCUCGGUGCAUGGUGCCAAGACAAGAGAGGAAGAGGAAAGGCCGGCAGGGAUGCAAAUGCAAUCAUCAUCCUAGGGCUCUGGCAAAUAUGGAAGCACCGCAACUCGAUUGUCUUCGACGGAGCUACACCUUCAAAGAACAGGAUUAUCCAUGCAGUCGUAAGAAAAGGCCAUGUAUGGAAGAAGGCGGGCAUACUACAAGGAGACAUGGACGCCUUCUUUGCAGAGGUGGAGGAGUGGGCAGCGGAGAGUAGAUAG